Molecule: ribosomal RNA, 534 nt
Filed under: Triticum aestivum (bread wheat)
Lineage: Eukaryota; Viridiplantae; Streptophyta; Magnoliopsida; Poales; Poaceae
Description: partial small subunit ribosomal RNA
Source: RNAcentral
AUGGAUCAAGGCACAAGAACGAGAUCUCUGCGACUUCAUGCGGCCGGUGGAGCGGUCAGUGGCACCUUCUUCCUGAUCAACGUCUUCUUGGCCGUGACUCUCUUUCUGGGAGGCAUCAACGGAGCGAACUCCACCACCUCCUCCUUUAUGGACACCGCCAUCGUGUCGAUCUUGGCAGCAGCAGUAGGAGCAGUAACGGUGGCGAACCACGGGAGCUUCAGCGCGGCGGCCGCCGUCAGCCGGUUGUCGGGGUUGCAUGUAAGAAGACCGUUGAGGACCUCGAAUCCCUCCGCGGACAGCGUCUCCACCGGGAACAGAUCUCGCAGCGUGCUCUGCUGCCCCGGCACCAGCGGCGGCGGGGCGGUGUGCGGCAGCGACGUGAACCCCGGCCACGUCGUGUCGUCUGGCACGCCCACCACUUGGAAGAUCCUUUGGAACAGAGAGAUGAAUUCGUCGGCCCGGAAAAUCCUCUUGCCCGAGAGCAUCUCCGCCAUGACGCACCUAAGAGACCAUGUGUCGACGAGCGCGUCGUAG